Long non-coding RNA from Notolabrus celidotus (New Zealand spotty), 837 nucleotides. RefSeq lists it as uncharacterized. The record is from RefSeq and is a predicted model, not a curated record. The transcript is spliced from 5 exons. Lineage: Eukaryota; Metazoa; Chordata; Actinopteri; Labriformes; Labridae.
CCAUCCACCUGUGCGUAAUCUAUUUUUAAAUGUGCUGCACGCAAACAGAAACUAUCAGCUGUUUCCACCGAACGAGUUGGAAUUAACUCUUUAAAGUCGGACUACAAUGGCAAAGAAAGAGCAAGCAUUUAGCUUUUAACAACUUCUGCUACACAGACCAAGAAAGGGAGACAGUAGUUGAAAAUGGAACGACCAAAAGUGGUUGGAUCAAGCAAGAGGACAAACUCCAGUGAAUGGGCCUGCAUAUCUUUCAGUGGUGGCGACAGCUGAGGGAAGCAACGCCAUGGUUGAUGUCUCUUUUGGACAGUGAGUCAUCCUCCGAAGGUCAGCAAAUGGCAACCCUGUUUACUGAGCUUUUCGUGCCUACCAAGAGUUCCCAAACCCCCGGCCCUCCACUCCAGACCUCAUGGUGAAGAAGUCUGCACGGCAGGACCAGAGGGCAUACACACCGAGACUUUGCAUCAAGCUAACCGUGCUAAAAGUGAGUGGCUUUGAAAUGCACUGGAUAGAAGAUGGAAGACAAAGAGAGAAGAGUGGUUGUUGUGAUUCUGACGUGCGUGGCCAAUCGGAUCAAGCGGAUGCACUGAUUUUGACUGCACGGAAGAGUUACAGUUACUCAUGCGGAUGGACUGAUGCCAUACUGAGCCAGCUGACUGGUUGGAGAUAGCCCGGCUCUAAAAGCCUCUGUCCAUGGUGCUGAAGGCUGGCCUGAUGUAUGAGUGCUACGCCCUGCUUGAUAAAUCCACUAUGUCACUCUGCCUCUGACAGCCAUUCAUCAUGCCCGGCUUUCUCAUGUGAAAUGUUCUGUGUGCCGGAUAAUUCAGCGAGACAAAUAAA